RNAcentral lists this transfer RNA (73 nucleotides) under Ailuropoda melanoleuca (giant panda). It matches the Rfam family "tRNA". Rfam says of the family: Transfer RNA (tRNA) molecules are approximately 80 nucleotides in length. The record is from Rfam by way of RNAcentral. Lineage: Eukaryota; Metazoa; Chordata; Mammalia; Carnivora; Ursidae.
GCCUUGCUGGCUUAGUCGGUAAAGCAUGUGGUUCUUGAUCUCAGGGUUGUGAGUUCAAGCCCCACACUGGGCA